RNAcentral lists this transfer RNA (77 nucleotides) under Bdellovibrionales bacterium CG11_big_fil_rev_8_21_14_0_20_38_13. Its description in RNAcentral is "tRNA-Met". It matches the Rfam family "tRNA". Rfam says of the family: Transfer RNA (tRNA) molecules are approximately 80 nucleotides in length. RNAcentral also lists the same sequence under 3 other names. The record is from RNAcentral. Lineage: Bacteria; Pseudomonadati; Bdellovibrionota; Bdellovibrionia; Bdellovibrionales.
GGGACAUUAGCUCAGUUGGUUAGAGCUACCGGCUCAUAACCGGUUGGUCGUAGGUUCAAGUCCUACAUGUCCCACCA